Molecule: ribosomal RNA, 972 nt
Filed under: uncultured bacterium
Lineage: Bacteria
Description: bacterial SSU rRNA
Rfam family: Bacterial small subunit ribosomal RNA
Source: RNAcentral
AGUCGUGGGGCAGCAGGUUUGUAGCAAUACAGAUGCUGGCGACCGGCAAACGGGUGCGUAACACGUACGCAACUUACCCAUUACUGGUGGAUAGCCCAGGGAAACUUGGAUUAAUACACCAUAACACAUAGAAAAGGCAUCUUUUUUAUAUUAAAGCUUCGGCGGUAAUGGAUGGGCGUGCGGUUGAUUAGAUAGUUGGCGGGGUAACGGCCCACCAAGUCUACGAUCAAUAGCUGAUGUGAGAGCAUGAUCAGCCACACGGGCACUGAGACACGGGCCCGACUCCUACGGGAGGCAGCAGUAAGGAAUAUUGGGCAAUGGACGAAAGUCUGACCCAGCCAUGCCGCGUGAAGGAUGAAGGUCCUCUGGAUUGUAAACUUCUUUUAUCUGGGGCGAAAACCUCCCUUUCUAGGGGGCUUGACAGUACCAGAAGAAUAAGCACCGGCUAACUCCGUGCCAGCAGCCGCGGUAAUACGGAGGGUGCAAGCGUUAUCCGGAUUCACUGGGUUUAAAGGGUGCGUAGGCGGGCAGGUAAGUCAGUGGUGAAAUCCCCGAGCUUAACUCGGGAACUGCCGUUGAUACUAUCUGUCUUGAAUACCGUGGAGGUGAGCGGAAUAUGUCAUGUAGCGGUGAAAUGCUUAGAUAUGACAUAGAACACCAAUUGCGAAGGCAGCUCGCUACACGGUCAUUGACGCUGAGGCACGAAAGCGUGGGGAUCAAACAGGAUUAGAUACCCUGGUAGUCCACGCCCUAAACGAUGAUUACUCGACAUCAGCGAUACACUGUUGGUGUCUAAGCUAACGCAUUAAGUAAUCCACCUGGGAAGUACGAUCGCAAGAUUGAAACUCAAAGGAAUUGGCGGGGGUCCGCACAAGCGGNGGNNCAUGUGGUUUAAUUCGAUGAUACGCGANGNACCUUACCNGGGCUAGAAUGUCNNNUGANAGUCGNUGAAAGCCGAUCUUAUAGCANUAU